This 319-nucleotide ribosomal RNA is filed under the name uncultured Actinomycetales bacterium. Its description in RNAcentral is "bacterial SSU rRNA". It matches the Rfam family "Bacterial small subunit ribosomal RNA", at positions 36 to 358 of the family's 1533-position model. The record is from RNAcentral. Lineage: Bacteria; Bacillati; Actinomycetota; Actinomycetes; Actinomycetales.
ACUGGCGGCGUGCUUCUACAUGCAAGUCAGGCGGAAAGGCCCCUUUGGGGUACUCGAGCGGCGAACGGGUGACCCACACGUGAGUAACCUGCCCCUGGCUUUGGGACAACCCUCGGAAACGGGGGCUAAUACCGGAUAUGACCUGCUGCCGCAUGGUGGUGGGUGGAAAGAUUUUUUGGCUGGGGAUGGGCUCGCGGCCUAUCAGCUUGUUGGUGGGGUGAUGGCCUACCAAGGCGACGACGGGUAGCCGGCCUGAGAGGGCGACCGGCCACACUGGGACUGAGACACGGCCCACACUCCUACGGGAGGCAGCAGUGGG